UGUUGAAACACCAGUUCACACAUGAUCACCAAAGUUAAGCAAUGUUGAGCCUAGUUUGUACUUAGAUAGGUGACGGCAUGGAAUUAUCAAGUGCUGAAA
Non-coding RNA from Acanthosepion pharaonis, 99 nucleotides. The record is from the annotation of a GenBank genome assembly. NCBI's taxonomy places the organism in Eukaryota, Metazoa, Mollusca, Cephalopoda, Sepiida, Sepiidae.